CCCUUAGAUGUUCUGGGCAGCACGCGCGCUACAAUGGUCUUCGCAAACGGAUGCAUUCUCGAAGGAGAAUGCCAAUCUUGGAAUCUAUGCCUUGGUCGGGACAGUUGCUUGCCAUUUUUCGACUCGAACCAGGAAUUCCUUGUAAUCGUGAUUCAUCACAUCACGAUGAAUACGUCCCUGCCCUUUGUACACACCGCCCGUCGCUCCUACCGAUCGAAGAGUUAGGUGAAUUGUUUUGAUCGAUAAGAUUUGACUAUGGUCAACUCUCGUUGUGAAAUUCUGUGAAUCUGACUGUUUAGAGGAAGGAAAAGUCGUAACA
Molecule: ribosomal RNA, 319 nt
Filed under: uncultured eukaryote
Lineage: Eukaryota
Description: partial 18S ribosomal RNA
Rfam family: Eukaryotic small subunit ribosomal RNA
Source: RNAcentral